CGGUUGAUCCUGCCGGACCUGACUGCUAUCGGAUUGGUACUAAGCCAUGUGAGUCGUUGUAGCAAUGCAAGGCAGACGGCUCAGUAACACGUAGUCAACCUAACCUAUGGACGGGGAUAACCUCGGGAAACUGAGAAUAAUACCCGAUAGAUCAUGAUACCUGGAACGGUUUAUGGUCCAAAUGAUUUAUCGCCAUAGGAUGGGACUGCGGUCUAUCAGCUUGUUGGUGAGGUAAUGGCCCACCAAGGCUAUAACAGAUACGGGCUCUGAGAGGAGGGGCCCGGAGAUGGGUACUGAGACACGGACCCAGGUCCUAUGGGGCGCAGCAGGCGAGAAACUUUUGCAAUGUGCGAAAGCACGACAAGGUUAAUCCGAGUGAUUCCUGCUAAAGGAAUCUUUUGUUAGUCAUAAAACCACUAAUGAAUAAGGGGUGGGCAAGUUCUGGUGUCAGCCGCCGCGGUAAUACCAGCACCUCGAGUGGUCAGGAGGUUUAUUGGGCCUAAAGCAUCCGUAGCCGGCUGCUCAAGUUUCCGGUUAAAUCCACACGCCUAACGUAUGGGCUGCCGGAAAUACUGUUCAGCUAGGGAGUGGGAGAGGUAGACGGUACUCGAUAGGAAUGGGUAAAAUCCGUUGAUCUAUUGAUGACCACCUGUGGCUAAUGCUUCCGUGCCUAACUCAUUCGACGGUGAACGUCGUCAGCUGAGCAAGUAUUGCAUGCUCGCUAUUCCCCAUUCAACCCAACUGUUACUCGGUAUACACUCCUAGAUUUCUUUGGAU
Molecule: ribosomal RNA, 777 nt
Filed under: uncultured archaeon
Lineage: Archaea
Description: bacterial SSU rRNA
Rfam family: Archaeal small subunit ribosomal RNA
Source: RNAcentral